GGGGUUAUAGCUCAGUGGUAGAGCAUUUGACUGCAGAUCAAGAGGUUUUCAAUUCAAACCUGGGUGCCCCCU
RNAcentral lists this transfer RNA (72 nucleotides) under Pleuronectes platessa (European plaice). It matches the Rfam family "tRNA". From Rfam's summary of the family: Transfer RNA (tRNA) molecules are approximately 80 nucleotides in length. Their secondary structure includes four short double-helical elements and three loops (D, anti-codon, and T loops). The record is from Rfam by way of RNAcentral. Lineage: Eukaryota; Metazoa; Chordata; Actinopteri; Pleuronectiformes; Pleuronectidae.